RNAcentral lists this ribosomal RNA (445 nucleotides) under uncultured bacterium. RNAcentral's name for it is "bacterial SSU rRNA". It matches the Rfam family "Bacterial small subunit ribosomal RNA", at positions 958 to 1398 of the family's 1533-position model. The record is from RNAcentral.
AACGCGAAGAACCUUACCCGGGCUUGAACUACGGAUGGUAAGUCCCAAGAAACUGGGGCUGACCCGCAAGGGAGUCCGCAGAGGUGCUGCAUGGUUGUCGUCAGCUCGUGUCGUGAGAUGUUGGGUUAAGUCCCGCAACGAGCGCAACCCCUAUCACUAGUUACCAGCGGUUCGGCCGGGAACUCUAGUGAGACCGCCGAUAUUCAAAUCGGAGGAAGGUGGGGACGACGUCAAGUCAUCAUGGCCCUUAUGUCCAGGGCUACACACGUGCUACAAUGGUUGCUACAGAGCGCUGCAAACCCGCGAGGGGGAGCCAAUCGCAAAAAAGCAACCUCAGUACAGAUAAGAGUCUGCAACUCGACUCUUUGAAGUCGGAAUCGCUAGUAAUCGCUGAUCAGCACGGCAGCGGUGAAUACGUUCCCGGGCCUUGUACACACCGACGCAC